This is a long non-coding RNA of Esox lucius (northern pike), 322 nucleotides long. Lineage: Eukaryota; Metazoa; Chordata; Actinopteri; Esociformes; Esocidae. The record is from Ensembl.
GUGACAGCUUCUGUUGGUGUUGUGGGACCAGAUGUGGUAGAUAUUUUAGCAGGAGUGGUUGUUGUGGCAGCAACUGUUGUUGUUACUCCAGACUCUGUUGUUGUGGGAGUAGAAGAAAUUGUUGUGACAUCAAGUGAUGUUGUUGUUGCAACAGAUGUUGUUGUGGGAUUUUCUGAAAUUUUUGUGACAGAAGCUGAUGUGGUUAUGGGACCAGAUGUGGUAGUCAUAUCAGCAGGUGUGGUUGCUGUUUCUGUAAAAACUGUUGUUCCCAACGUUGUUGUUGUUGGUAGAGCUGUUGUGGUCAUUGAGGGAACAGAUGUGG